CGCGAAUGGCUCAUUACAACAGCUAUAAUUUACUUGACCUUGACAAUCCUACUUGGAUAACUGUGGUAAUUCUAGAGCUAGUACAUGCACCAAAGCUCCGACCUCGCGGGAGGAGCGCAUUUAUUAGAACAAAACCAAGCGGGCGCCUCACGGUGCUCGUGAUUUGUUGACUCAGAAUAACUAAGCUGAUCGCAUGGUCUUGCACCGGCGACGUGUCUUUCAAGUAUCUGCCUUAUCAACUUUCGAUGGUAGUGUAUCUGACUACCAUGGUUGUGACGGGUAACGGAGGAUAAGGGUUCGACUCCGGAGAAGGGGCCUGAGAAAUGGCCACUACGUCUAAGGAUGGCAGCAGGCGCGCAAAUUACCCACUCUCAGAACACUGAGGAGGUAGUGACGAGAAAUAACGAGGCCGUUCUCUAUGAGGCCGGUCAUCGGAAUGGGUACAAUCUAAACCCUUUAACGAGUAUCUAUGAGAGGGCAAGUCUGGUGCCAGCAGCCGCGGUAAUUCCAGCU
Molecule: ribosomal RNA, 513 nt
Filed under: Boleodorus thylactus
Lineage: Eukaryota; Metazoa; Nematoda; Chromadorea; Rhabditida; Tylenchidae
Description: SSU rRNA
Rfam family: Eukaryotic small subunit ribosomal RNA
Source: RNAcentral